This 467-nucleotide ribosomal RNA is filed under the name uncultured bacterium. Its description in RNAcentral is "partial 16S ribosomal RNA". It matches the Rfam family "Bacterial small subunit ribosomal RNA", at positions 28 to 507 of the family's 1533-position model. The record is from RNAcentral.
GGCGAACGCUGGCGGCGUGCUUAACACAUGCAAGUCGAACGAUGACGACCGAGCUUGCUCGGUCUGAUUAGUGGCGAACGGGUGAGUAACACGUGAGCAACCUGCCCUUCACUCUGGGAUAACCUCGGGAAAUCGGGGCUAAUACCGGAUAUGAGCUCCUGUCGCAUGGCGGGUGUUGGAAAGUUUUUCGGUGAAGGAUGGGCUCGCGGCCUAUCAGUUUGUUGGUGAGGUAGUGGCUCACCAAGGUGAUGACGGGUAGCCGGCCUGAGAGGGCGACCGGCCACACUGGGACUGAGACACGGCCCAGACUCCUACGGGAGGCAGCAGUGGGGAAUAUUGCACAAUGGGCGAAAGCCUGAUGCAGCGACGCCGCGUGAGGGAUGACGGCCUUCGGGUUGUAAACCUCUUUCAGCAGGGAAGAAGCGAAAGUGACGGUACCUGCAGAAGAAGCGCCGGCUAACUACGUG